RNAcentral lists this ribosomal RNA (484 nucleotides) under uncultured bacterium. RNAcentral describes it as "partial 16S ribosomal RNA". It matches the Rfam family "Bacterial small subunit ribosomal RNA", at positions 30 to 507 of the family's 1533-position model. The record is from RNAcentral.
AUUGAACGCUGGCGGCAGGCCUAACACAUGCAAGUCGAGCGGAUGAAGGGAGCUUGCUCCUGGAUUCAGCGGCGGACGGGUGAGUAAUGCCUAGGAAUCUGCCUGGUAGUGGGGGAUAACGUCCGGAAACGGGCGCUAAUACCGCAUACGUCCUGAGGGAGAAAGUGGGGGAUCUUCGGACCUCACGCUAUCAGAUGAGCCUAGGUCGGAUUAGCUAGUUGGUGGGGUAAAGGCCUACCAAGGCGACGGUCCGUAACUGGUCUGAGAGGAUGAUCAGUCACACUGGAACUGAGACACGGUCCAGACUCCUACGGGAGGCAGCAGUGGGGAAUAGUGGACAAUGGGCGAAAGCCUGAUCCAGCCAUGCCGCGUGUGUGAAGAAGGUCUUCGGAUUGUAAAGCACUUUAAGUCGGGAGGAAGGGCAGUAAGUUAAUACCUUGCUGUUUUGACGUUACCAACAGAAUAAGCACCGGCUAACUUCGUG